UUCACUCUAGCAAUGCAACAUCAGGUCAAUAGUUGACGCCUCUUGAUGGUGGCAUUUAUCGUUGGUGAUGCCUCCUCUUCCUGCGAGGAACUGGCUUUUAAUGGAGAAAACUGAGGCAACAGUGACACAAGCAGCGGUGUCCUUGCUGUCUUCACCGGAAGGGCAGCCCCGCCUCCCUGGGAGAAAGGUGUUGUCAGUGUGGAGUUGCUGCUGAUUGCAGCCGGCGAUGAAAACUCAAGAUGUAUAUCCAUCCGAUAGCAGCCAUUGUAGAAGUUGCGUCCGUGGAAGGUUUUUUGUCCAUACUCCGCAUCCUCAUGAGAUUGGAAUUGAACCGAAGCUUUCACACGUGUUUCCAUCUCAUACAUGUAAAUCCUCGAUGGAGUAGAUCCUCUGUCACUGGAUAGAGCAGAUUGCUCAUAGUGACAUGGAGAACUUGUUCGGCAUCGGAAGCUAUGGUGAGUGCCUUUGAUACCAAGUUGUCAUGACCCGAGACCAUGACAGGAUAAACACCACCGGGAAGAUAGCCGGGCGGCAUCGGCUCCUGGAGAAGGGAUGUAGAUUUAUGCUAGAGAGAAGAACAUUACUGGGAGGGAGAGAUUAGACUAAUUGAUAGAUGGUAUAGCUUGACCCUUAAGUAAGAAUUCAAUCUAAUUUUAUCUCUAACUUAACUAAUAAUCUUAUCUCUAACUUAAUUGAUAAUAUGGGCUGCCUACGGACCUCUGCCUUCUGGCCCAAUGCGAAUGACAUGAGGCAUGGUUUAUUGUUGCUGAAAGGGAGCUUCCUAUCGUUGAUGGAGUUAUUUGUGAGUUGAAAAUUGAAAUACCUUGGUGUGCAUCAAUUUCUUGAGCAGCCUACUGGACUCUGUUUUGCAUAUUUUUCAGAAAAUAUCGUGCAUCUAAAAUGAAAGCGGAUGGAUCAUUCUAACUGAUGGAUGAAUACGCCAAGAAUUUAUGAGAAGUUGUACUACGACAAAAAUAUUCGAUAGCGAUACAUUAGUAGAGACAAUUUUCGAAUCAUCUCUAUAUUGAAAUAUAGAGUUCCGUAACCUAUUAACAAGUUAUAGAGGCAAUUUUAAAAUCGUCUACAAUAGUUCUGCGUUAAAGAAAUUUUUUAGGCACUCUUGACAUCUACUAGAUGUAUUUGCUAAUUUUGUCUUGUAGAGGCAUUUUUAGGCUCUCAAUCAUUCGUGUCAGUUUGUAUAACUAAACGGGCCUUGCAAGUAGGAUACCAUGCAGACAUAAGAGAAAGGUGAGAGUCCGCUAUGAAUAUAUGUGACGACAUUGAGGACAGCUUUGCAUGGAUAUGAUUGUAAGAUGGAAAGUUAUGGGUGUCACAUGCCAUUUAUAUUUCUCCGUCUAGUGAUUUGGGGAGAUUUAAUUGCGUAUUCCUUGUUUUCUUGGGUACGAAAGCUUCAAUAUUAGGAGUACACACAUGUCCUUUUUAUGGCUAUGUGUCAUGUUUUUAAAUUAUUAGAACUUUUGGUUAUGUGCAUUAGAGGCUGGAGAUGUAAUUCUCAUGUUACUUAUCUAAAAGAAGCCUUUUUGCCUCUGACAACUUUCAACCCUAUGUGGAGGACAUGUAUGCACAUGUUUAUGUGACAUUGUGUAAUCCAUGUCAAAUUGUACCCUUCGAAACAGGUUUGCACCAUAUCGACACAGGUUCUGUAAGUAAUAACCGAUAUGGUUAACAAAUUGAUAUCGUUGUAAUCAUUAGGACGCCUAUGAGUACAAUUCCAUACUACACAUAACAUUUGCCUUCUCUUGUUGAAGGGAAAUAUGGAUUAUCUUGACUUGAAAAAUAUAUGCAGAUCAAAAUCCAUCCCACGGUUGUGUACGGCUUCACAUAUAUAUGAAGUAUGGUUCUGUGUACGAAAUCGUUUCAGAGGACAAUAUGAUCUAAUACUGCACUCUAGUACAACAAAGUUCCUCCAGGUAGGUAUUGGAGAAUGCCAAGCUAUAGUGACAUGAAUUGGAAGCUGACUAACAUGUUGUGACAUAGAUGAAGUUGAACUAAAGACACUAGCACUAGUAUUCGUGGUGACUUCUCGUCACUCUUGAGUAACCAUUUCUUUUCCAGGAGCUUCUCAUUCCUAGGAUAUUUGACUUCUAAUUAAUUUCAAUGAACUGACCUCAAUGUGCUAACUGUUUAUUGUGGCUUUUCAAAAGUCCUCGAGCUGGUGGAAUAAUCAAGUCGGUUAGAGUUCUCUAGAAUCCAAGACAUAUUAUUGAAGCAGUUUAUCAAGCUAAGUGGAAUGAGUCACAAACUUGUGGUACAUUCUAGUCUCGUUGUACAAUGCCAACCAGUUCCCCUCUAUCCAUAGAUUACACUGGCUAUAUAUAAGGCUUGAUGGAUGACAAUGCGAAGGCUAUAAAGUAAUGGAAAACCAUAUCUAUCAUACUUUCAAUGGUUUAUUAUUACAGGACGUAGAGGUCGGUGGAUGGAGACUUGAUAUUAAGUAGGCCGGGCAACACUCUAUAGUAUGUAUUUUGCAUUUGAAGAAAAUCCAUUGUAUUUAUAAAUGAAUUUUUUUAUUAAUCUCAGAAAACAACAUCAAGAUAUCGAUGAUAUAAUUAAUCUAGGACCAAAUAUAGGCUCUACAUAGUUAGAACGUACACAAUCUAUAAUUAUAAAACAAGGAAGAAUGAUGUGACAAAAAGAUAUCAAGCCGUAGCGAGUUAUAACCACAAACAAUCUUUAUCAUUAUACUCAAACAUAGUAAUGUUUGGACUGUAAUAAAGGCCUCUAAAAAGGGAAUGCCGUGUGUAGGUAGUUGCCGCUGCCAUGAUCCGGUCAGCAAAUCCUAUACUAUAGGUUUUCACCACAGGAGACUACAGACUUCAACAGGGAACUGAGUGUUUGCCAUUUCUAGCUUUUGUGAUUUUUCCUGGAACUAUUUGACCAUUAUUUGAUUAUGUUACUUUCAAUUGGAUGAAACCCUAAAUUUGUGCUCGCUGCAAUUCUUCCUAAAAGAGAGGAACAGGAGGCCAGUGACAACUGACAAUCUCUGUCUUCCCUGUCAGUAGAUUUGUUAUUGUGCGAGCGUGGAGAUAGGGUGCCCACGUGGUGUGAUUUGUGUCGAUGGAGGAAAACCAAAUUAUCUUUGUGCCGCCAAGCCUCGUUUGUCUCGUCGCGAGAUUUUGGCAUUCACUCUUUUCCUUGAAAUGUAUUCUUAUGCAAUACAAUUUAUUUCCAAUAAUAGCUAUCUGCAAUACAAUUUCUUUCCAAUAGUAA
Oryza sativa Japonica Group (Japanese rice) is the source of this 3231-nucleotide long non-coding RNA. RefSeq lists it as uncharacterized. NCBI's taxonomy places the organism in Eukaryota, Viridiplantae, Streptophyta, Magnoliopsida, Poales, Poaceae. The record is from RefSeq and is a predicted model, not a curated record.